GUAGAAGCAACAGGGAUUGCCCCAGUAACGGCGAGUGAAGCGGCAACAGCUCAAAUUUGAAAUCUGGCUCCCUCGGGGGUCCGAAUUGUAAUUUGCAGAGGGAGUCUCGGGCGCGACACCGGUCUAAGUCCCUUGGAACAGGGCGUCAUAGAGGGUGAGAAUCCCGUACGUGACCGGCCGUCAACCCCAUGCGAGGCCCCUUCGACGAGUCGAGUUGUUUGGGAAUGCAGCUCAAAGCGGGUGGUAAAUUUCAUCUAAAGCUAAAUACCGGCCAGAGACCGAUAGCGCACAAGUAGAGUGAUCGAAAGAUGAAAAGCACUUUGGAAAGAGAGUUAAAAAGUAUGUGAAAUUGUUGAAAGGGAAGCGCUUGCAGCCAGACUUGACCGUUGGUGAUCAGCCGUCCCUCGGGGCGGUGCACUCUCCCUCGGUCAGGCCAGCAUCGGUUUCGGCGGCCGGACAAAGGCCCCGGGAACGUGGCUCCCUCCGGGGAGUGUUAUAGCCCGGGUUGCAAUGCGGCCAGCCGGGACCGAGGACCGCGCUUCUGCUAGGAUGCUGGCGUAAUGGCUGCCAGCGACCCGUCUUGAAACACGGACCAAGGAGUCGACCAACCAAGCGAGUGUUUGGGUGUCAAACCCACACGCGUAAUGAAAGUGAACGGAGGUGGGAACCCCCUCGCGGGGCGCACCAUCGACCGAUCCUGAUGUCUUCGGAUGGAUUUGAGUAAGAGCUCGGUUGGCCGGACCCGAAAGAUGGUGAACUAUGCGUGAAUAGGGUGAAGCCAGAGGAAACUCUGGUGGAGGCUCGCAGCGGUUCUGACGUGCAAAUCGAUCGUCAAAUUUGCGUAUAGGGGCGAAAGACUAAUCGAACCAUCUAGUAGCUGGUUCUGCGAGUUUCCCUCCCCGG
RNAcentral lists this ribosomal RNA (903 nucleotides) under Belonopsis sp. YC-2017a. Its description in RNAcentral is "LSU rRNA". It matches the Rfam family "Eukaryotic large subunit ribosomal RNA", at positions 56 to 977 of the family's 3401-position model. The record is from RNAcentral. Lineage: Eukaryota; Fungi; Ascomycota; Leotiomycetes; Helotiales; Mollisiaceae.